GACGAACGCUGGCGGCGUGCUUAACACAUGCAAGUCGAACGGAAAGGCCCUGCUUUUGUGGGGUGCUCGAGUGGCGAACGGGUGAGUAACACGUGAGUAACCUGCCCUUGACUUUGGGAUAACUUCAGGAAACUGGGGCUAAUACCGGAUAGGAGCUCCUGCUGCAUGGUGGGGGUUGGAAAGUUUCGGCGGUUGGGGAUGGACUCGCGGCUUAUCAGCUUGUUGGUGGGGUAGUGGCUUACCAAGGCUUUGACGGGUAGCCGGCCUGAGAGGGUGACCGGCCACAUUGGGACUGCGAUAAGGCCCAGACGCCUACGGGAGGCAGCAGUGGGGAAUAUUGCACAAUGGGCGGAAGCCUGAUGCAGCAACGCCGCGUGCGGGAUGACGGCCUUCGGGUUGUAAACCGCUUUCGCCUGUGACGAAGCGUGAGUGACGGUAAUGGGUAAAGAAGCACCGGCUAACUACGUG
Molecule: ribosomal RNA, 468 nt
Filed under: uncultured bacterium
Lineage: Bacteria
Description: partial 16S ribosomal RNA
Rfam family: Bacterial small subunit ribosomal RNA
Source: RNAcentral